Molecule: ribosomal RNA, 449 nt
Filed under: uncultured bacterium
Lineage: Bacteria
Description: partial 16S ribosomal RNA
Rfam family: Bacterial small subunit ribosomal RNA
Source: RNAcentral
AACGAACGCUGGCGGCAGGCUUAACACAUGCAAGUCGAGCGGGCCCUUCGGGGUCAGCGGCAGACGGGUGAGUAACGCGUGGGAAUCUACCCAUCUCUGCGGAACAACUCCGGGAAACUGGAGCUAAUACCGCAUACGCCCUUUUGGGGAAAGAUUUAUCGGGGAUGGAUGAGCCCGCGUUGGAUUAGCUAGUUGGUGGGGUAAAGGCCUACCAAGGCGACGAUCCAUAGCUGGUCUGAGAGGAUGAUCAGCCACAUUGGGACUGAGACACGGCCCAAACUCCUACGGGAGGCAGCAGUGGGGAAUAUUGGACAAUGGGCGCAAGCCUGAUCUAGCCAUGCCGCGUGAUCGAUGAAGGCCUUAGGGUUGUAAAGAUCUUUCAGAUGGGAAGAUAAUGACGGUACCAUCAGAAGAAGCCCCGGCUAACUCCGUGCCAGCCGCCGCCGUAA